ACGACUCUCGGCAACGGAUAUCUCGGCUCACGCAUCGAUGAAGAACGUAGCAAAAUGCGAUACUUGGUGUGAAUUGCAGAAUCCCGUGAACCAUCGAGUUUUUGAACGCAAGUUGCGCCCGAAACCAUUUGGUUGAGGGCACGUCUGCCUGGGCGUCACGC
This 161-nucleotide ribosomal RNA is filed under the name Lachnospermum fasciculatum. RNAcentral's name for it is "5.8S ribosomal RNA". It matches the Rfam family "5.8S ribosomal RNA". From Rfam's summary of the family: 5.8S ribosomal RNA (5.8S rRNA) is a component of the large subunit of the eukaryotic ribosome. It is transcribed by RNA polymerase I as part of the 45S precursor that also contains 18S and 28S rRNA. Functionally, it is thought that 5.8S rRNA may be involved in ribosome translocation. RNAcentral also lists the same sequence under 4 other names. Lineage: Eukaryota; Viridiplantae; Streptophyta; Magnoliopsida; Asterales; Asteraceae. The record is from RNAcentral.